ACGAACGCUGGCGGCGUGCUUAACACCUGCAAGUCGAACGGGGAAGCGCCUUCCUUUUUGGUGGGCGUGGAUGAGUGGCGAACGGGUGAGUAACACGUGAGUAACCUGCCCCCUUCUUCUGGAUAACCGCAUGAAAGUGUGGCUAAUACGGGAUAUUCUGGGUCUGUCGCAUGAUGGGUCUGGGAAAGAUAUUGUUUCGGUGGGGGAUGGGCUCGCGGCCUAUCAGCGUGUUGGUGGGGUGAUGGCCUACCAAGGCGGUGACGGGUAGCCGGCCUGAGAGGGUGGCCGGCCACACUGGGUCUGCGACACGGCCGGGACUGCGACGGGAGGCAGCAGUGGAGAGUAUUGCACAAUGGGGGCAAGCCUGAUGCGGCGGCGCCGCGUGAGGGAUGGAGGCCUUCGGGUUGUGAACCUCUUUCGCCAGUGAAGCAGGCCUGCCUCUUUUGUGGGUGGGUUGACGGUAGCUGGAUAAGAAGCGCCGGCUAACUACGUG
Molecule: ribosomal RNA, 493 nt
Filed under: uncultured bacterium
Lineage: Bacteria
Description: partial 16S ribosomal RNA
Rfam family: Bacterial small subunit ribosomal RNA
Source: RNAcentral